This 77-nucleotide transfer RNA is filed under the name Candidatus Thorarchaeota archaeon SMTZ1-83. RNAcentral's name for it is "tRNA-Pro". It matches the Rfam family "tRNA". From Rfam's summary of the family: Transfer RNA (tRNA) molecules are approximately 80 nucleotides in length. RNAcentral also lists the same sequence under 6 other names. The record is from RNAcentral. Lineage: Archaea; Promethearchaeati; Candidatus Thorarchaeota.
GGGUCGGUAGUCUAGCUUGGUAUGAUUCUUGCUUGGGGUGCAAGAGAUCGGGAGUUCAAGUCUCCCCCGGCCCACCA